Molecule: long non-coding RNA, 6604 nt
Filed under: Populus trichocarpa (black cottonwood)
Lineage: Eukaryota; Viridiplantae; Streptophyta; Magnoliopsida; Malpighiales; Salicaceae
Description: long non-coding RNA (PTRI_LNC002036)
Source: RNAcentral
UCCCUUCGCUGAGGCAAAUGCUGAGGACUCUGGUGCUGGGACAAAAGAUUAUGUUCAUGUGCGCGUGCAGCAGCGAAAUGGGAGGAAAAGCCUGACUACUGUUCAAGGGUUGAAGAAGGAAUAUAGCUACAACAAGAUACUUAAGGACCUCAAGAAAGAGUUCUGCUGCAAUGGAACUGUUGUCCAGGACCCUGAGUUAGGCCAGGUUUGUUUCUAUCUAUGUUGUUUUCAGAAUGUCCUUGAGAGGUAUUAUCAUAAAUCUGUACAUAGUCUGCUGUUGCAAACAAGGGGUGAUUACAUGCAGUCCUCAGCUCUUUUGUUAUUCAAACUGUGGGGAAAAUGACGUGUAAAGUAUUUUGGAAUAUCUUCUUUGAAAAUAAAGAUCUUGUAAAGCUAGAUUUUUUUUUAUAUUAUGGGUGGGUAUUAGAUUCUCCAUUACCCACGCAUCCCUUGUGGAACGAUCCAUUGCAUGUUGGGAGCUAUCUCUGACAUUCCUUUAUUCCCUUUCUUGCUUAGAAAUUUCCAUCAUUAUCUCUUACAGUUGGUUUGAAUUUGAUAUCUAGACCAACCCAGAGAAUGAACACUUGCAGCAUGGACCUUGGUUUCUCAUUUGGCAUGGAAUAGAGAAACACCACAUCUGUCCAAACAUUUGGAAUUAUUGUAUUAGCAAUAGUCUUUACUAGUGCCAUUCAAUUGGUAACUAGUAAGCUGUGCCAACAUGAAGAGAGUGUCAGUAAGGAUGUGUGUAACCUUUAAUCGGCCGUCUUGUGCUUGCACUAAAUACCAGUGCAUAAGCCUGGUUUGGAUAUAUUAAAUAUCUUUCUGCCGAAAUAAUUUAGUGUGAGCACUGCUUUUGUGCGUGGCUGCAGGUCAUUCAACUUCAGGGUGAUCAAAGGAAGAACGUAUCCACCUUCCUCGUGCAGGUAACAAACACAUCCUGGUCUUGUUUUAGACAAAGUACUUGUAUAUUUAGCAACCAUCAAUGAAAAAUCUUCGUUUACUCUCUGUGAACAGGCUGGCAUUGUGAAGAAGGAAAGUAUCAAGAUUCAUGGUUUCUAAGAAGUAGCAAGCUUAUUGCUAGGAUACCUAGUUUACACGUCUCGCAUGGUAGAGCUUGUGUCCUCCUCAACUUUAUUUCAGGAUAUUCUGCUUUCUGCAUUUUUAAAGUGGAUUCGCUUCUUUGUGUGUGAUGUGGAUUUAGUAUGUACAACCACCGGAUCUUUCACCGGAAUAAAGGUUGCUCGCUGUGUGGAUUUAAUAUGUAUGACCACUGGAUCCCUUAUCAGAAUAAAGGUUGCUGGCGUUCUAUAGAUGUUUGUGUUCCUUGCAGUAAAUUAAACCUUGAAAAAUUACGUGAUCCUUUCUACCUUUUCUUCAAGUUGAGAACAGAAGUAAUAUAAAAUAAUAUUUCAAGCCUCUUAAACUAGGUUAUUUUGGUGUUUUUGUUUUCUGGUGUUUUUUUUUAGUGUUUUUAAUUUUAAAAAAAUAUUAAUUUGAUAUUUUUUUUAGUAUUUUUUUAUGGUUUUGAUUUGCCAAUAUAAAAAAUAAAAAACAAAUCUGGAAAAAAAAAUUAUUUUAAUAUUUUUUCAAUCAAAAAGUUAUUUUUAAAAAUAUUUUAUAGUUUAAUCCCAAACAUCCCUAAUCCCUAUCAUCCCUUUUAUAUGUUGGAAAUUUAACAUACCUUUUAUAUGUUGGAAAUUUAACAUUUUUUGGGCAUUGUUAUUAAACCUUGUAUAAUAAUUCAUAUUUAAAAAAUAUUGUUUAGAUUAUGAUUUUCUUUAACAGAUAAAUCUAAAAAAAAAUUAAAAGCAAGAAAAACAAAAUAGGCUAGGAUUAUUUAUUCGUUAAAUUUAUAACUUAAGUUAUGAACUUGAAUUAAUUUUAUUUUUAUUUUAUUAUAUGAUAAAAGAUAUAAAAAUCUUUUUACAAUUAACUAGUACUGAAAUAUAGAAAUUAAUAAAAACUCAGCAUUACAUUAAAGAAUAUAAUUGUUGCUUGACCAAUAUUUUGUUUCUUUUUUAUUAAAGGGUGGAUAACUUGUAAUCCAUCCUAAAUAUACUCUCUAGUUUGAAAUAAAUAUGGAGUUAUAGAAAACACCAGAUUUGUUGUACACGCUCUACCACAAGCAGGGUAAAAAUAAAAUUCUGGCAUAAAAGAAUCUGAGACUUGAACCAUUGGUUCAAUUGAUAAUUUAAAAAAUAUCUAAAAAAAUCAAUAACAAUAAAUAAACUAAUCAAAAAAAAUAAUAAUGAAAUUUUUUUUUUAAAAAAAAACAAAAGAAAAACAUACAUAAGCUAACCUCUUAAAAGAUUAAACGUUAAAAAAAACAUCAACUUCAAAAAGAAAAAAAAACCAAGUAAGCUCAUACAAAACUAUUAAACAUGAUUUAAUCUUCAAAACUCACAGCCCGUGAAAUCUUGAACUCAGAUUCAAUCAAAAAACAUAAAUUUCAAUCAAUUUAAUUUUGAAUGAUGAAAUCAUGGGAAAAAUAUUGAUAAAAACACUUGUGAAAACAAAAACAAAUAGUAAUAAAAAGAAGAUGAUAAAAUUUGAUAGAAAAAAAAUCAAAAACGAUGAAAUUUGAUAAAAAAAAAUAAAAAUGAUCUCAAAUAAAAAAUAGCAAUAAAAAGAAUAAUGACCAAAUUUGGAAAAAAAAAUCAUAGAGGGUGGAAAUUAAAAAAAACAUUUGUAAAUUGAUAAAUUAUUUAUAGUUUUAAAAAAGAUAGGGGUUAAAUUAAAAAAAAUAUUUGUAAUUUUAUAGAUAAUUAAAAAAAAUAGCGAUCAAAAGGAUAUAAAUCAAAUGUAAAAAAAAAUCAACUAUGGUGGCUAGUCUGAAUUUUUGAAGAAGUUGGUGCGACGUUCAAGGUAGAUAGAGAGAGAAUGAAAAAAAAUAUUUCAAAUAUCAUUGUAAAAAGCAGUGUUCGGUUGCUGAAUAAUCCCACAAGAGUUCCUCAAAUGACGACGUACUAACAUAUCUUCUAAAAAGUUUUUUAAAAUAAUAUUUAAUAUAUAUCAAUUACAAUAAUGCCCAUGAAAAAUCUUAAAAUUUUCAAUAAAAUUAAUAUAAAAUGACUAAAAAGCUAUUGUGAGGGAAUGAUGUUAAUUUUGUUUUUUAUAGACUUUAAAGUAAUUAUACUAUUUUAAGGGAAAAAUAUCAAGAUGCCCUUAAGUGAAAGACAUUAUAUAUUUUUUUAUUAUAUGGUUAAACGAGUAAUUUUAUUGUGCAAUAAAAAAAAAUGAUUAAUCUAAUCUUAUACAACUUGUUACAAGCAUUUGUAUCAUGAUGAAAAAAUCAUCUACUUAAAAGAUUAGUUAAAUAGUUUCUUUGUUUAAGGAUAAUUUCAUAAUUAUACUAUUAUAAUGAAUAGUAUCCCGAGUCUCGAUGCACAUUUACUUCCUAAGGACAAUUAGCUUUUUUAAUAGCUAUCAUGCUUGGAUCAAGAUCUAGAUUGUGGGAAUGAGUCAACUCAUGUUUAUUUUAAAAUGACUUGUUUAAGUUUUUUUUUAAAUAUAAAAAAUGACAUUAUUUUGGGCAAAAAAAAAUUAAAAAGUUGAAAUGAUUUGUUUUUGAAUAAAAUUAUUAAAAUUGACUUGGUAGGGUCUUCUAACUAAGUCAAUUUUAAUAUUAGGUUAUUUGAAUGUGAUAAACCCGAUUCUUAAAUAAGUAAAAAAUAAACUUGGUUCAAGUUGUGCUCUUAGAUCGCCGGAUCCACCCAUUGGCCAAAUCAAGAUUAAUAGCUAAGGUAGAAAAUGAAAAAAAAAAGAAGUUCCAUGUUUACUAAAAUGCCCCUCUUUUUUUUUUUUUUAUAGAAAGAAUUAUAAAUGGGCUCACCCAUGUGCUCAUUGGGAUAGUUGUUUUAUGGGCCUCAAGCCCUUUCCCACAUAAAAGAAAAAGGUUAGCAACUUAGCAUAAGGGGUAAGAAUCAGGACCACUGUCUGUCCCUAUCCCACGUGGCCUCCAAACAAUCUCAACCGUAGAAACAGCCGACCCGAAGAAGCUGCUGAGGUCAAUAAAUAUUGUCUCUCACCUUCGCAUAAUCACCAUAAUCGCCAAAGAAAGAAACCCAAAUUUCAUCUCUCAUCUUUCUUGGGUUUUCUUGCUUUGUUUCUCAAUCUUUCUGUCAGGUAAUAAUCCAUAGUUUUUCUAGCCUGGUUUCUUUUAAGGUUUUGUUUUGGUUUCAUCUUGUCUUUCUGUUUGUAAAUAUUAGGUUUUGGUUAAUUUUGUGUUUUGUCUUUAUUUUUUCGUAAUUGGAUUUUUUUAUUGUUUUUUGUUCAUGAUGGUGUUUUGUAUUAUUGUUUGUGAUUGUUUUUUGUUGGUUUUUGCGGGAAAAAAUGAUUUUUUUUAAAAUAUUGGUAGAAAUUUCUGUAUGGUGUUGAAGUUUUUCUUAUUUUUUCAUUUCUAGCCUGGAUGAUGAGUAUGUUUUUCUGUUUGUUUGAUAAGGAUUUGAGGGAAAGGAGCUGAAAAAGUAACUGCAUAUUAACAUUCAACCUUUUCUAUUGGCUGAUCCAAAUUUUAAUGUUUAGAAUCCAGCUUAUGUUGUGUGUUUCUAGCUCUCUUAAUUGUUUCUAGCUUUUUUUUUUUUCACUUGUGGACUGCUAGAACACAGUUCCUGGAAUUAUUCAAUCAAUUACAAGUUUUUGGUUAUGUUAAUAAUGGGUUUAUUUGAGGAAAAGUUUGAAACUUUUAUAGGCUGUUUGGAAACUUAAGAUUUGAGUAUAGGGUAUUUUGAUAGAGAAUUAUGAAGCUACAGACUUGUGCCUCAGAUGGCAUGAGGGACUGGUGUGACCAAAAUUCAUAGUGUCUUGUUAGGAGAUGGAAGGAGAUGACCCUUAAUUUUCUGUAGUGAUAUAAUGGAACUAGUACUUAAAGAUGUUUGUUCAUCAGUUGACAAGAAAAGAUAUGUUUGAUGAAUGGGGUGAUCCACAUGCAUUUUAGAUUUUAUUAUUUUGGACUGAUUGUUGAUGAUAAGGUGUAACAGCUGCCAUUAUAGGAAUAGAUUGAGGAAAUAGAUUUGUUUCUGAAAAGAUAACCCAUUUUUUGAGUGAAGUCGGAAAUCAUUGAGUGGUCUACAGGAAUACGUGGCUAUGACGCUGAUUAAGAUACACACAUCUGUUUGUUAAAUGGUGGUGUAGACUGUAGCUAGAACCAUCUGAUGUAUGGAUAAUCUGUAGCUGUUUUAGUUAUUUUAGUGUUUAACAGUACUGAUUUUGUUUUUUAAUUUUUUUUUGCGUUAUUCGAUACAGAAUGAUAAAAUUUACCAUUCUUGCAUUUUAAUGUAUAGUUAAAAUCUUUCAUGGUUAUUUUACACAUCCAAGGAUUUUACCUUCUCAUUGCUUGGUUUGUCGUAAAUGUGAAAUUAGAACUGAUGAUUGGAUAGUAAAGCUUUCUAAGUCCUUUAGCACUUAUCUUGACCUAUUAAAUUGUAGGAUUCUCUGGAUCUUGAUCUGUAUCUCUCUCCUGUGGAACCUUCCACCCUUAAUUUUGUUUUCUGGCAUAUGUUUCAGCUCAGAGAAAUUUGAUUAAUAUCAAAAGAAUUGUUUGUCGGUUUCGCUUUCUACUUCCAGAAUCUUUCUUUCAUGUCUGAAUUCGACAACGCUAUUCCAACUGCUUUUGGUAUGUUUUAUUUGUUGGAUUAAUAUAUAUUUAUCAUUCUGAUGAAGUUAGAAGUUUAUAGUAAUAAUGUUUCUUCAAUGGAUGAAUAGAUCCCUUUGCUGAGGCAAAUGCUGAGGACUCCGGUGCUGGGACAAAAGAUUAUGUUCAUGUGCGUGUACAGCAGCGAAAUGGGAGGAAAAGCCUAACUACUGUGCAAGGGUUGAAGAAGGAAUAUAGCUACAACAAGAUACUUAAGGACCUCAAGAAAGAGUUCUGCUGCAAUGGAACUGUUGUCCAGGACCCUGAGUUAGGCCAGGUUUGUUUCUAUCUAUGUUGUUUCCAGAAUGUCCUUCAAAGAUGUUAUCAUGAAUCUGUACAUAGUCUGCUGUUGCCAACAAGGGGUGAUUGCAUGCAGUCCUCAGCUCUUUUGUUAUUCAAACUGUGAGAAAAAUGACGUGUAAAGUAUUUUGGAAUAUCUUCUUUGAAAAUAAAGCUCUUGUAGCUUUUCUGAUAUUAUGGGUGGGUAUUUGAUUCUCCAUCUCCCAUGCAUCCUGUGUGGAAAGUUCCUUUACACGUUGGUAGCUAUCUCUUGACACUUCUAAAUUCCCUUUCUUGCUUAUAACCUCAGUUGCUUUCCAAAUCUUUCUCUAUUAUCUAGACUAUAACCUUCUGCAUCCAUAACAGAUGAUUUAUUUUCCAUCUAUUCCCCCGAAGCUACUUAGAAAUUUCCAUCAUUAUUCUCUUCUAGUCGGUUUGUUAUCUAGACCAACCCAGAGAAUGAGCGCUUGCAGCAUGGACCUACAAUUCUCAUUUGGCAUGGUAUAGAGAAACACCACAUCUGUUCAGACAUUAGGAAUUAUUGUAUCAACAAUAGUCUUUACUAGUGCAUUCAGUUGAUAGCUGCUAAGGUGUGCCAACAUGAAGAGAGUUUGUCUGCAAGGACGUGUGUAACCGUUAAUGGAUCCUUCUUGUGCUUGCACUAAACACUGCUUUUGUGCAUGGGUGCAGGUC